GUUACUGCCUGGGAGUGGGGCGUGGUGAUACGGUGGGUGCAGGGUUGGGUCGGAAGCGUUGGUGGUAAAGGGCGGGUGGGCGGCCGGUCAAGUCGGAGGUGAAAUCCCUCGGCUCAACUGUGGAACUGCCGCCGGUACGGUUCGGCUUGAGUCCCGGAGAGGGGAGUGGAAUUCCCGGUGUAGCGGUGAAAUGCGUAGAGACCGGGAAGAACACCAGUGGCGAAGGCGGCUACCUGGACGGGUACUGACGCUGAAGCGCGAAAGCUAGGGGAGCAAACAGGAUUAGAUACCCCUGUAGUC
RNAcentral lists this ribosomal RNA (300 nucleotides) under uncultured Nocardioides sp. Its description in RNAcentral is "bacterial SSU rRNA". The stretch from base 59 to 300 matches the Rfam family "Bacterial small subunit ribosomal RNA", at positions 554 to 795 of the family's 1533-position model. The record is from RNAcentral. Lineage: Bacteria; Bacillati; Actinomycetota; Actinomycetes; Propionibacteriales; Nocardioidaceae.